Molecule: ribosomal RNA, 486 nt
Filed under: uncultured Chloroflexota bacterium
Lineage: Bacteria; Bacillati; Chloroflexota
Description: uncultured Chloroflexi bacterium partial 16S ribosomal RNA
Rfam family: Bacterial small subunit ribosomal RNA
Source: RNAcentral
AUAGUUUGAUCNUGGCUCAAGAUGAACGUUGGCGGCGUGCCUAAUACAUGCAAGUCNAACGGUAGNGGACCAUUCNNGCUNCUNGAGAGUGGCGAACGGGUGAGUAACACGUAACUGAUCUGCCCNUUANACUGGGAUAACCUUUGGAAACAGAGGCUAAUACCGGAUNAGCUCGCGGUAGUUAUAGAGCCGUGAGGAAAGGNUUAUGCGCUNNGGGAUGAGGUUGCGGGCCAUCANCUGGUUGGUGAGGUAAAGGCUUACCAAGGCGAUGACGGUUAGGGGACCUGAGAGGGUGGCCCCCCACACUGGGACUGAGACACGGCCCAGACUCCUACGGGAGGCAGCAGUAAGGGAUAUUGCACAAUGGACGGAAGUCUGAUGCAGCCACGCCGCGUGGGUGAAGAAGGUUUUCNGAUCGUAAAGCCCUUUUCUNUGUGACGAGANAGGACGGUAGCNUAGGAAUAAGUGUCGGCUAACUACGUGCCC